Oryctolagus cuniculus (rabbit) is the source of this 13910-nucleotide non-coding RNA. NCBI's taxonomy places the organism in Eukaryota, Metazoa, Chordata, Mammalia, Lagomorpha, Leporidae. The record is from RefSeq and is a predicted model, not a curated record.
GUGGACAGUGAGAGAGAGAGACAGAAAGGUCUUCCUUUGCCGUUGGUUCACCCUCCAAUGGCCGCCGUGGCCGGCGCGCUGCAGCCGGCGCACUGCGCUGAUCCGAUGGCAGGAGCCAGGUGCUUCUCCUGGUCUCCCAUGGGGUGCAGGGCCCAAGCACUUGGGCCAUCCUCCACUGCACUCCCUGGCCACAGCAGAGAGCUGGCCUGGAAGAGGGGCAACCGGGAAAGAAUCCAGCGCCCCGACCGGGACUAGAACCCGGUGUGCCGGCGCCGCUAGGCGGAGGAUUAGCCUAGUGAGCCGCGGCGCCGGCUGCUUCUAUGGUUUUGGAAGUCGCGGUCAUUUCCUUCCACUGACUGGUGGCCAGGGGCUGGGCUGACACUGCUGUGAGUGACGUCACCUGCUGGAUUGUGAGGUUGUCUCGCUCCCCAGUUCUGCCUUCCCUGGUUCUGUCUCGCUAUAUGCUGUGGCUGGUACAAAAUGUAUCCUAGGGCAUUUUGCUUACUCUGUUAUAACAAACAUCACUUCUUUUAUUAAAGAAAAACUGAGCAGUUUAAGUCCAGUUUUGGGGAUGUUUGACUUGUUAGGGAAGCUGAAGUCCCUGUGGUGGUUAGGAGUCCAGUUUCCUUUGGCGUGGUGGGGUGGAGCCACUGCAGGCCUCGGUGUGAUAGCCGAGCCGGCCUACCAGAGAUCGAUCCCUGCGAUGUGAGCUUGGAGCUGGUCCCCUUGGACAGGUCGACAGCGUGGCCUGCAGUGGGCGGCAGGAGGUGAUGCGCGUGCAGGCCUGGCCCACUUUGCCCACUGCCACGGCGCUGCACUUGUGGUGUUUGGUUGUUUUGUUUCCUUGUGUUUUCAAUCAUUUUUCCUCCUGCAGUGCCUUAGGUUAGCGUUUUUUAGCCUUCUCUAGGGGCCAAAGAUAAUGAAGCCCGCAAGGCUAGAGAUGCGGCCCACAGCAACCCUCACUCACUUGGAACUGCUUCUCGGUGUCAGGACGUGUUCGGGCUCGGGUUCUUCAUGUUAAAGUCAGAAGAAGAGAAUGUGACAGUCGCUAACAGUAGGACGAAGUGGCAGAAGAGACCGUUGCAAGUUAGAGCGACACAAUAAUGAGCCUUGUAGGCGAUGUCCCGGCCGCGAUCCGUGCUUGCUGGGACGGAGGCUGCAGCGCAGGGAAGCAGGCCGACCUCCGGGCGCUGUCGGCUGGGUGCAGGGGUUUUCACUUGAGCUUUCAUGGCCACGAGAAACGGAUUUAAGCAAAGGUUAUCUUUUAAAAAUCACCCGCCAAGUCUCGCUACUUUCCUCAUUUUGGAAUGUUAUGGCUUUUAAAAGUCUUCGUAGUAAACACAGAUGUAAACAGUGUACUGCUGUUACUGUAUCAGUGUCAUCUUUUCUCACUUCAGUGCCAAACCAAGUCUUUUUCUCCUACUUUCUAUUCUUUUUUUUCUUUUUUCUUUCUUUUUUCUUUUUCUUUUUUUUUUUUUUUUUGACAGGCAAAGUUAGACAGUGAGAGAGAGACAGAGAGAAAGGUCUUCCUUCCGUUGGUUCACUCCCCAAAUGAUUGCUACAGUCAGUGCUGCACCGAUCCAAAGCCAGGAGCCAGGUGCUUCUUCCUGGUCUCCCAUGGGGUGCAGGGCCCAAGCACUUGGGCCAUCCUCCACUGCCUUCCCGGGCCACAGCAGAGAGCUGGACUGGAAGAGGAGCAACUGGGACAGAAUCCGGUGCCCCAAGUGGGACUAAAACUGAAGUACCGGAGCUGCAGGUGGAGGUUUUUUUUUUUUUUUAAAGAUAUAUUUGUUCAUCUGAAAGGCAAAGUUACAAACAUAGAGACAGUAAGAGAAAGAGAUCUUCCUUUGCUGGUUCAUUCCCCAGAUGGCCUCAACAGCCUGAGAUGAGCCAGGCCAAAGCGUGGAACCAGGAGCUUCACUCAGGUCUCCCACGUGGGUGGCAGGGGCCCAGGCAUUGGACCAUCCUCUGCUUUUCCCAGGCCAUUUACAGGAAACUGGAUCAGAAGUGAAGCAGCCUAGAGACCCACAGGGGAUGCCAGGGUCGCAGAUGGCAGCUCUAAGAGCUACACCACAGUGUUGGCACCUCUUUCUCCUGCUUUUCCCAGAUCUGGUAUUGGGUUUUAGCUCCCUUUUGCCCUUUUUUUUUUUUUAAAGGUUUAUUUAUUUAUUUGAAAGUCAGAGUCGCACAGAGGAGGAGAGGCAGAGAGAGAGAGAGAGGUCUUUCAUCCGAUGGUUCACUCCCCAGUUGGCCACAAUGGCCGGAGCCACACUGAUCCGAAGCCAGGAGCCAGGAGCUUCUUCCGGGUCUCCCACACGGGUGCAGGGUCCCAAGGACUUGGGCCAUCUUCCACUGCUUUCCCAGGCCAUAGCAGAGAGCUGGAUCUGAAGUGGAGCAGCUAGGUCUUGAACUGGCACCCAUAUGUGAUGCCAGCACCUCAGGCCAGGGCAUUAACCUGUUGUGCCACAGCACCAGCCCCCCCCUCACCCUUUUGAGAAGGCUUCCUUUCCUUUCUAAGGCAGAGUGACAGAGAAAGGAGGAGAGAGAGUGACAGAGAAAUCUUCCAUCUGUUGGUUCACUCCCCAAAUGUUGGCAAAUGCUGGCACUGGACAAGGCUGAGCCAGGAACCAGGAACUCUGUCCGGGUCUCACGUGGAUGGCAGGAACCUGAAUACUUGGGCUCUCACCUGUUGCCUCCUGGGCACGUUAAACAAGCAGCUGGGUCAGAAAUGGAAGAACCAGUACCUGAUGAGGGCGUCAGAUGCAUGAGUGCAGCCUGCUGUGCCACAUGCCCACGCUUCUCUUUUAUUUUCGUGGGUCACCUCAUCAGUGCCUUGUCACUCGGGGAGCGAUGAGGACCGUGCCAGUGCAGAGGUGACACCUGCAUGACAGCAGUCUCACUGUAGUUGGCUCCCUUGGCACUGUGGCCCUUCACCUCUGUAGUUGUGAGGACCCUCUGCACAGAGAGAUGUAGGGGUCAUGGGUCACAGUCACAGAGCACUUGGGAAGGAGGGUGCGUGUGUGUGUGUGUGUGUGUGUCCAGACUCCAGAGCUCUAUCUGUGGUUUUUAGAUACGGUUUUCCCCCAAAAUCACAUUCCUAGGGCAUACACCAACCCAUGACUUUCAUAUUUGUUAUGAAAGGUUACAGAGAGGCAGAGGCAGAGAGAUAGACAGAGACAGAGAGAAAGAGAGAUAGAGAGAGGAGAGAGGUCUUCCAUCCACUGCUGGUUCACUCCCCAGAUGCCCACAAUGGUUGGAGCUGCACCAAUCUGAAGCCAGGAGCCAGGAGCUUCUGGGUCUCCCACGUGGGUGCAGGGUCCCAAGGACUUGGGCCAUCUUCCACUGCUUUCCCAGACCACAGCAGAGAGCUGGAUCAGAAGUGGAGCAGCUGGGUCUCACACGGGUGCCCGUAUGGGAUGCUGGCACUGCAGGUGGCGGCUUCACCCACUCACCACAGCACCUCUGAUUUGUUUUCCUCACUUUCCCUAUUAUCGUGGUUGUUGCCUAAAAGCUAGAAAAGUCGUUGCCUGAGCUCUGCCUGUCCCACUGUGCCUUCUUGGGCAAAGCCUCUUAGCAUGGGCACUUGUUAGUUAGUUCAGGUCAGCUGGUCUCUUCACUGCGCUCCACACAGUUUGCUUAAAGCCGCGUGCUCCUCUGUGUCGUGGGGCACUGGGCUCUGGAUCCCUGCAGACUCCUCCAGGAGUUCACAGAUGCUGGGGUGCGGCUGUCCUUGAGGGGCUCCGCAGCUGCACUGUGGAACAGGACACCGCCAGCACCAGGGAUUUUUGAGAGCGCACAGCCCUGCUGGUGAAACUUUACACGGCGGCUUCAGGAGUGAGGAACGUCAGAGGCUAAGUUUAGAAGGGGCUGGGCUACAUGCGGAAAGGGCUUGUACACCCCACGUCAGGCAGGAUUUCUGUCAGUUUGUGAAAUGGGGCCAAGGGAGAAGAGACCACUGGUGGCCCAGGGGAGCCCGGGCACUUCUCACUGCUGCAGGGCCUCAGGCCUGGAGAAAUGCCACCAGUAGUGAAGACAAGUUCAGCUCCAGGCUGGGACUUGUGCAGGGGAAACAGACCAACAGUUUUGUGCUAGAAGUCAGUGGAGAAGCAGGAUCUGACUUAAACCGCUUGGGAGGGUGUGGUUGUGUGAAGCAGAUUCUGUGAGAUUUUACUUGACCCGACUUAGCCAAAUGGUAGUCGAGGUGUUUUUACCUGUGUCAGUGAAAAGGAAAUCAGUAGACCCUGUGAAUGAACUGUUCAUUCACAUCUCAUGGGGCAGGUGCUGUUAACAGAGGAGCCAGCUCGUCCUAAUAUUAAGAAUUAUCAUCGGGACGUACACAUUUUUCUGUGUUGUUGAGAGUAAAUUGAUGCUUUUCAAAGUAAAUGCCACGUGUCCAGGGUUUGACAGAACAGAGUCACGUUUCCAUCGAUCUCACAGGGCAAGUGGUUUGUCGCACUUUGUGCUGAUCAGACGGUGUGAGAGGCUCAGGGAAAGAGGGUAGAUGGGCUAACUCCUCUGUGCACUGACUGCUGCGCAUUUUAUUUCAAGGCGAGAGUCUUGCCGUGAGCGCCCACUGCUCCUGCCUAAACCUUAGGACAGAGCCAGGCAGUGCCAAGUCGGCUCCCUUCCUCAGAAAGGCAGCGUCUCCUGCCAUGGCUGUCUCCAGAAAGAGGGCGCGAGAGGCAGAGGCUGCGCCUUUGGUUCUGGGCGUUGCGUGGCUGUGUGGCUCAAGGCAGCAGCUGCUUCUCCCGUCUCCUGCACUGCCUGCCUCUGAUGGAGCCACACAAGCACAGCACAGGGUGUGCAUUUCCAGAGAUGCAUUCAGCCUGCGUUUUCAUAAAUCUCUCAUCUGCAGCAGAAAUCUGAUCACACACGAGGCCUUCAGAAAUGUGCACCAGGCAGAGUGGAAACCUCUGGGCCAGGGGUGCUGUGGCACAGUUGGGUAAGCUGCCGCUUGGGACUCCUACCCCAUGUUGUGGUGCUGCUUUCAGUCCCAGCUCCUCUGCCUGCUGGUGGCUGAGAAGGCAGCAGAUGAUGGCCCAAGUUUGGGUCCUUGCCCCCGACACGGGGUCCAGAUGGAGUCUCGGUUCCAGAUUGGCCCAGUCUUGGCUCUUGCAGGCAUUUGGAGCAGUGUGGAACAGCAGAUGAUGGGAAGUCCCUCUAUUGCUCUGUCUUUCCCUCUGUCACUCUGCCUUUCCAAUAAAUUAGAUAUAUAUAAAUAUAUGUAAUGUAAUGUGUGGCACUGUGACACUAUGGCAGUGAAUUGACAACCAUGAUGACUGCUAAUGGGCAGGUAGCACAAACAGCAUGGAUACGCUGGGCAAAGAGACGAUUCAGAAGGUUUCAUUGCAGUGUUUAGGACAACACACAGUUUAAAACUUGUGAAUUAUUUAUUUCUGGAAUUUUCCUUAUAUGGUGUUGGAUCACAGCUGACCAAGGGGAACUGAAACCGUGGACAGCAGCACCCUGGGCAAGGGGCAUGGCUGUGCUUUCAAGUCCACGGAGCUGCACCGUCUGCAGCUGUGAGGUCGCUAAAUUAGCUCAGCUGCCCUUCAUUGAGUGUCUUGCUGGUGUGACCGUCACACCUGGGAACAGAAUGUUUUCUUGUCAAUUUGAAAUUGUUUUUAAAGAUUUAUUUAUUUUAUUUGAAAGGCAGUUAGAGAGAGAGAGAGAGAGAGAGAGAGAAUGAAGUCUUCCACGUGCUAGUUCACUCCCCAGAUGGCUGCAAUGGCCAGAGCUGAGCUGAUCCACUGUUGCUGAUGUUGGGUGAGUCGCUGGCCACCCUGCCCUGAGCCUGCAGAGCGGGUUGUGUUUGUGGCCUCUGUGACUCAGUGGUCAAGGCUGCAGCUGUCGUGGCCACUCUUUGUGUGCCCCAUGUACUCUUGGGGAAAAGGCAGUGGUGAGAAAGGCGUGGAAAGAGGAGAUGGCAGAGGAACCUGUGUCAUGCCGAUUGCUGUUUACAUGUAAUGUAAAAUAGAGAGACAAAGAGAACUCUUCCGUAUGCUGGCUCACUCCCCAAAUGCCUGCAGCAGCCAAGGCUGGGUCAGACUAAAGCCAGGGUCCAGCGACCAUGUACAUGAGCCAUCAACUGCUGCCUCCCAGGUGUGCGUUAGCAAGAAGCUGAAUUGGAAGCAGAGAGAAUUGACUUCUGGAAGAGGUCAUUGUCAUGGUGUCAGAAUGGUUAGGAAAUGCAUUUGCAUCCAGCUCCGUAGGCCAGCCUCAGAACAGCCCUGUAGAGUGGGUUUGUCUCUCAUCCCGGCCAGGAGAUAGGAGUGAGGCUCGUAGGGGCAGCCGUGGUCCCUGUUCUGGAUCGGGAUGUUUUCGUUGGUGGGUGUCCUUGGGGUUAUCCCAGGGUCUUAGGAAUGUGCCCUGGCUUGAAUACCUCCCUAACAUAUUGCAUAUCCCAAAGCCUGCGUGAGGGCUUUGUUCCGUCGUCAGCUGGGCCCUCACACACUGGUGCUCAGUACCUAUUUAUGGAGUGAAUAAAGCAGUCAGCAGGUGAGACAGCGAACACUGAACAAAGCGCUGGUCGGAUGCCACAUUGUUCCAUUCUUCCCGCAGCCAGGGGAAGGUUUGAUUCCUUGUACUUUGCUGGGGACUUUGACUUGUGAGGUCUUGCAGCCAGGAAGAGGCCGGCAGAGUCUCCGGUUCAGACAGUGCGUGCUGGUGCUCCCAGCCCGGGUGCCGUGCUCAUCCUCGUCCAUCCUCGUCCAUCAGGAGCCCUGAUGGUGAUCUGAGCUGUGCUGUUCAGAGCCUGUGUGUAAUCGCAGGGGUGGGGAACUGGUUUUCUGCCAGGGGCCAUUGCAUGUUUAUAACAUCAUUAGCAGGCCAAGAAGAAUUAUCAACUUGAAAAUUAGCCUGCUCUGGAUUUAUUGAAUUUAGAAUCCUGCCCACGGUUGCCUUGGCAGGACCUCACAUGGCCCGGGGGCUGGGUGUUCCACAGCCCUGGGUCAUUCCCGACAGAGACUGCAGCCCAGACCCUCUGUGCACCAUGGCUCAGUUAUUUUUUUCUUUUUUGGAGGAGAUGUUUCCCUAUUUCUUGUGAUUUGUAAAAGAUCACCGAUGAUUCCAUGAGCACAUGACACAGUCUUUUCAAUAUUCAAGGCAAGGAUUUUGUCAGGAGAGAUCAAACUGUUUAAAAUGCCUGGUGGGCGGUCUGUCAUUUCUGUCACUUUGGAUUCAUUUUCCUUCCAGCAGUGACCGUCACUCAGUCUCGUUCCCUCUGGUCCAGCUCUGCAUACAGAGUUAAAGGGAUCUUUCUGAAUGUAAGUGAUGAAUCAUGCCGUGCCGCUGGCUUCCCCUUACACCUAGAUAAACUCAGAAACGGCCAAGGCUGCCCAGGUGGCCAGCACACCCUCCUCGGCCACUGAUGCCCAUUCCUCCUCCUGGGUCUCCGCAGGUGCUCCAGCUCCUGACCCCUCAGUCCCCUGGUGUUUCCUGACCUUGGAGGACAUCCCUGUCCCCCCUGUGUUCGGGGAUCAUUUCUGCUGCAGCUGUGUCACCGUCUUUAACGGCUUUUGUCUUUUUUACCCAUGUCCUCUUCUGGGUGGUCCUUUCCCCCUGGGCACCGUCGAGCCCCUCCUACCUGCCCCAGGCCGUGCGCCUGCAGAGCUGCAGCCUCACAGCUUUCCCCGGUUUGUACAGAGGUUCCUGUUGGAUACUUUUAUCCCUGUGGGGGGCUCGAGGAGUCAGCACCCGUGAGGACUGCUGUGAGCCUAAGAGAGCGUCCGUCCGCCGUGAGCGCCGGUGUUCCUGUCCUGCCUUUCUCGGCCUUCCAAUGGGUGGGCUUCCCAGUGAGGGGAGAACUGGUCAGAGCCUCAGCUCUUGGCGGAUUUCAUCUGGCAGCUCCCCGAUGGCCAGCUGUGUUCUCUGGGCUGCUGCGGUUUUCCCCUUCUACUUGUUUUGUUUUUUGUAAAGCACCUUUGUGUUUUCUAAGAGGUGCGGUGUUGUGAAAUUUGUUUCCGCGUUGCCCACUUGUUGUCCUCUGUCUCCCUGGUGCUCCCUCCUGGCCUCUUCUCCUAGACUUGACUGGCUUUUCUGUGGGUGCGCGCUCGCCCUCUUCCCAGUGGUUCCCGCACCUGUGCCGAGUUCACUGCCGAGUCCUCUCCAGCCAGGGCUCCGGGGUGGGGCUGUGCCAUGCCUUGGUGCUCCCGUGUGUGUUGUGGAGUCUGGGUCUGAGGCCCUGUGUCGUCCCUGACUCUCUUCCCGCUCCCUGCUUCACUGUUUCCUCCUGGAAAUGGCCAGGCAUCUCCACCUGGCACGUGGCGGUGGCAAAAUGCCUGGCAGUUACCUGCGGUGGGAGCCUGAGUUAGUUUUGGGAGGGCUGCCGCUUAGAGGCCACUGUGUUCUUCAGGCCUCGAGCUUGGCCACCUGUUGGGAUUGCAUCCUUUCAUCAGUCAGCAGUAUUCUGACUUAAAAGAGCGCAUUCCAAAACUUAGAAAACUUAGUAAUGGCAUGGGUACUGUGUUCAUUUUUAUUUGCAUUCAGUCUCACAGAAAAACAGAAAUAGCACCCAUUUAUUUUUCUUUCAAAAAGCAGUCACAUAACUAUCUGAAGUAUUUUCCGAUAACGAUGGAGUUGUACUGAACGCAUCUCCAGUUCAGUGGUAAAGUCGCCAAGGAGAUGGAGACCGAACCUGAGAUCCCUGUGUCUAGACGUCUGUUACGGGGUGGGUGGGAGACCACGUGCAGGGAACGUGGACGGUGAAAACGGUAAAUGGAGGCAGCGACCCUGCUGUUGAGCUCCAUGAAGGCUGAGGCCAGGAGGCGACACCUGAGCAGCUUGACAGGGGAGACUGUCUCCCGGGUACUGCCGGCAGAGGUCUGGCGUCGGGGAGCAGCAGGACACGCACGGGGAUGCACAGAAGAGCACUGGGGCCGGCCGUGGUACAGCCCUGCGCUGAGAGCAGCCCCGGGCACCUGCGCGCGCAGGAGCUGCCUCCCCAGGGCCUGGCCUGCAACUCCCCGGGGGGCCUGGAGCUCCCAAGGUGUGGGCCGGUUUGGGAUGAGCGGCUGCUGCUUUAGCAAGUCACCCAGACCCCUGGAGCCUCAGUGUCCACCCUCACACCCUCAGACUUGGGAAUGCAGCUGAGCUGUGGUGAGCGUGAGCGACCAUCCUGGGGUGGAGCAUCUCCCUUGAUGUUGGAAAGGAACGUGCUGUAUCAGAUGUAACAGAGGGCGCUUGUUUCCGGGAGCCGGGAUGGCCGUCACGGGAGGGAGGGAGCCAGGCCACGGGGAGCCCUUAGCAAGCCUUGGGACGCAGCAGGGCCCGGGUACCUCAUGGCCGUGGUGUGAGGACAGCCUCACCAGCUGGCAGGGGACGCUUUAGAGGGAGGCGGCCAGCGAGCCUGGUGAACCUGAGAGGUACUCACUCACGCUCACAGGCGAAGCUCACAGAAUCUGGUGGCAAACUGGAUGUGAAGGUGGCGGGGCAGGCGAGGAUGAUCUUGAUGUUUCUGGAAUAAACUGGUUUUAGGUUUUAUCUUCUUUCACGUAAAGUGACUUUACUAACCUUUCUGUAUUUAAAAUCUUUAUGGUCCAGAAAAGAAAUCUUUUUGAGACCAGAUUCUGAGCUUACACUAACUUGUCUUCUGGUGAGACACACCACAAGUGAUCCACAGGGCUUGGCCUCUGCGUUUCAGCUCAGACAGGUUUAUUUUGUACUACAGAGUGUGUGUUUCCAGCCACGCCUUUUGUAUUCAGAAGUGACUCUCAGAGCAGAUUUUUAUUUUAGAUUAUAAGCUGUGAAAGUGAAGGUUUUAAUAGAAGUGCUCACCCGGCCUGGCCACCGUGACACGCGCAGCGGCCCGUCUGAGCAGAAGGCUCUCAGAGCCAGCAGGCUUCAGUUUCAGGGUAGCAGAGGUUUCUACGAGCAGCUCUGAUAAGACUUAAGGUCUUUAUCUCAUGGGGCCGGCGCGAUGGCUCCGCGGGUUAAAGCCGCAGCCUCAGUGCCAGCGUCCCGCAUGGGCUCCGGUUUCAGUCCUGGCUCCACUUCCAAUCAGGUUCCCUGCUAAUACUCCUGGGAAGGUGGAGGGUAACCCAAGAGCUUGGGCCCCUGCACCCAAAUGGGAGACCCGGAAGAAACUCCUGGCUUCGGCCUGGCCCAGUCCUAGCUAUUGCGGCCUCUUGGGAAGUGAACCAGCAGAAGAAAGACCUACCUACCUCUCUCUCUCUCUCUCUCUAACUCUCUCUAACUCUGCCUCUCAAAUAAAUAAAUAAGUCUUAAAAAAAAAAAGAUCUUUUUCAGUCUCGUGUUCUUAAGUUCUGUGAAGUCAUUUAAAAUUGAUGAGCCCAUUUUUACUUGAUAGCGUUGACACUAGAGCUGCCGCUCCCAGCGUUGAGAACCCUGCGCUCGCUGGCCUUUUCAUUUUUGUGAAUGUGGCUGUGGUUUCUGGAACCAGAGGGUGCUGCCUCCUGUUGGUGGGCAAGUGCGUUCAACUGAGAGACCCGACAGGCACGCUUGCUGGGGUCUGAAUGUGGACGCUUGGUCAGCUGAAUGUGGCCACACAGCGACAGAGGAAGUGUUGGCCAGGUUGCCUUGGGGACCUAACAGGGAAAGUCCAUGUUCCAGAACUGAGAAUCAGCCUUCCAUCCCUCUUCCCCUUUCAUUCACGCAGCCCCCACCACCACCACCACCACCACCCACCCCCAGUCGCACAGAAGUCUCACUGCGUCCGGUGCCUUCUCCCUCAGCAGGUGCUGCGUCCUGCAGAGAGGCAUGGAUAUGGCUCCGGCCUGCAAGGAGCUUGCAGUCUAGUGGACAACCAGAUCCAGCCCCUGAUGUGCAGGAGUAGUAGGGAGCUCACCCAGAGGCAGAGGAAGCAACAGGAAAAUAGGCAGUCAGGAAAGACUUCAGAGGCGGGGCUGAUCGCCAACCCCUGAAGAGGGCCUAGUAGCUUGCCAGUUGGAGGGCAAAGGGUGCAGCGUGGCCACUGAGCACGGCUGGAGUGUGGCGGGCAUGGGGAGUAGAUGAAGUGAGGGUGCAGCACUGGACAGACCCAGAAGGAGGGAACAGAGCCAGGGCCAGGAGCGGCGCGGAGGGCGGUGCCCUUGAGUCCCUGCAGCAGUCCUGUGAUGUGGUUACCGCUCUUCCCUUUGACAGAUGAGGAAACAGAGGUGUAUUUGCUGGCCCAUUGCAGCACUGCAGUUCAUACUGGUUAGUGAUAGGCUAGGACUUACACACAUACCUGACUCUGGGCUGUCAUCUCUCUCCAGGCUGUUACCGUGGGAGUGGGUUAUUCCUGCUGUGAGCAUUUGCCGAGUGACUCCUGCUCGGCCAGUCGGGUUGUACUCCAGUACGGGUUGCUAAAGCAUUUCAAGUAGUGCACGGAGGGCUGGGAUCCUACAGAAAUGGAAGUGCCACGAAGGCAGGGCUUUGCCUGUGUUGUUCAGGACCUGAACCCUCGCCGGUCGGCCGUGGUGAGAGCUCAGAGGACGCUGAGUGAGUAAGCGUGGCUGGUGACAGAGCUGUGGUGUCAGCACUUCUCAGUGCAGUGUGUGGGGAGGCACUUCCUCCCUGCAGAGACGGCUCAAUUUAGACGCACCACAGGGACAGGUGUACGGCUUGAGUGGUAAUGCUCGUGUGCGCACCACAGUGCCUGGACUUGGUUCCUGUCUCCCGCUUCCUGUGAACGUGGACCCUGGCAGGCAGCAGGAGUGGUUCAAGUAAUUGGGUUCCUGCCACCCGUGUGGGAGACCCGGACUGAGCUCCUCACUCCUCACUCUGGCCCUGGGCCCAGCCCUCGCUGCUGUGGACAUGAGCCUUGUCUGUCUUUGACUCUUGAAUUAAAAAAAGAACAGCAGUAAAAGCACCGUUAAAAAGGGUCAAGACAAAUUUGCCAGAAGAAAGAGUCAUUCCAAGCUAACCUCAUUUUUUUUUUGCUUUGGAUUUAAGUUGGGGGAGAGGGAGACGGGGUGGAGCUUAAUGCCUGCAAGACCCUCACCUGUGCUAUCACAGAGGUGUCCCGCCAGCCCUGGCAACCCGAGGCCACCGUAGGGUUGGAGCUACAGGCCAGGCAGGUGGGUCAGUCACGUUUACUUCUGGAUGAUGAAGAGCUCGGAGGAGAGCGUCUGGUAGGCGCAGGCUGUCUUGGUUCCAGGAGCUCCUUGACUGCUGAAGGCCCAGCUUCAGUUUGGAAGGCAGAGGUGACUGGGUGGGUGGGUGACAUGGAGCCUCUUUCUCUCUGAGCAGCUCGUCUUGGGACCGUGGACCAGUCACUCAGGCUCUCGGGCCUCAGCUUCCACAGUUACGACAAAAGGGGAGAGAAACCCACCCUUCAGCCUUGCAGGAGUGUGAGGCCAGGUGGCACUGGAGGGAAAGGUGUUUAUUGAUGGUGCUGACAGAUGUGUGCUUCUGCUUCUGCAGCGGGGCUCCCAUCCCUGCCCGACGAGGGUGCUGAAGUGCUGUGGCGAGGGCUGGGUGGUGGGUGGUGGCUCUGCCCCGGUCAGCGCGCUGUUGCAGAACUGUGUGUGCCAGUUAUUCCUUUUUUUUUUUUUUUUUUUUUUUUUGACAGGCAGAGUGGACAGUGAGAGAGAGAGACAGAGAGAUAAAGGUCUUCCUUUGCCGUUGGUUCACCCUCCAAUGGCCGCCGCAGCUGGCACGCUGCGGCCGGCGCACCGCGCUGAUCCGAUGGCCGGAGCCAGGUACUUAUCCUGGUCUCCCAUGGGGUGCAGGGCCCAAGUACUUGGGUCAUCCUCCACUGCCUUCCCUGGCCACAGCAGAGAGCUGGCCUGGAAGAGGGGCAACCGAGACAGAAUCUGGCGCCCCGACCGGGACUAGAACCCGGUGCGCCGGCGCCGCAAGGCGGAGGAUUAGCCUAGUGAGCCGCGGCAUCGGCCAUCCGGUUAUUCUUAAGUGCUGAAACUUAACUGAAAAGUGAUUGCUGUUAAAUAUAAGAGUGGGAAUAAGAGAGGGAAGGGAUGUGCAAUUCGGGGCAUGCUCAAGCUGACUUCCCUCAAACGGUAGAGUUAGAAACAUACCAGGGGAUUCCAAUUCAAUCCCAUCAAGGCGGCAUGUACCAAUGCCAUCUCACUAGUCCUAGUAAUCAAUUUCUGUUCACAAUUAAUCAUGAUAGGACUAAGAACCAAAGGGAUCACAUAAACAAGAAUAGUGUCUGCAAAUACUAGCUGAUAGAAUAAAAAAGGGAGAGAAUGAUCCAACAUGGGAAGUGAGAUACACAGCAGACCCAUAGAAUGGCAGAUGUCCUAAACAGCACUCUGGCCUCAGAAUCAGCCCUAAAGGCAUGCAGAGCCAGCUGAAAAGCCCAUGAGAGUAUUUCAGGCAUGGAAAGCCAAGACACUCUGGGGGGAAAAAAUGACCUAAAUGAAAGAUCUCUGUGAGAUCCCAGUGGAAAGAACAGGUCAUCAAAGAAGGAGGUACCUUUCUCUGAAGGGAGGAGAGAACUUCCACUCUGACUACGACCUUGUCUAAAUAUGAUCAGAGUCGGUGAACUCAAAAGGCUUUCAUAGCCUUGGCAACUCAUGACUGGAGCAUAGGGAGAUUGCUGAUGCCAUAAACAAGAGUGUCAAUUUGUAAAGUCAACAACAGGAGUCACUGUGCACUUACUCCACAUGUAGGAUCUCUGUCCUUAAUGUGCUGUACAUUGCGAUUUAAGGCUAUAACUAGUACUCAAACAGUAUUUUUCACUUUGUGUUUCUAUGUGGGUGCAAACUGUUGAAAUCUUUACUUAAUAUAUACUAAAUGGAUCUUCUGUAUAUAAAGAGAAUUGAAAAUGAAUCUUGAUGUGAAUGGAAGGGGAGAGGGAGUGGGAAAGGGGAGGGUUGCGGGAGGGAGGGAAGUUAUGGGGGGGAAGCCAUUGUAAUACAUAAGCUGUAUUUUGGAAAUUUAUAUUCACUAAAUAAAAGUUAAAAAAAAAAAAAGAAAAAAAGAAAGAACGGUGUGUGCCAGGCACC